This 108-nucleotide transfer RNA is filed under the name Lepisosteus oculatus (spotted gar). It matches the Rfam family "tRNA". From Rfam's summary of the family: Transfer RNA (tRNA) molecules are approximately 80 nucleotides in length. Their secondary structure includes four short double-helical elements and three loops (D, anti-codon, and T loops). Lineage: Eukaryota; Metazoa; Chordata; Actinopteri; Semionotiformes; Lepisosteidae. The record is from Rfam by way of RNAcentral.
GUCAGGAUGGCCGAGUGGUCUAAGGCGCCAGACUCAAGGAUUAGUUCCUUCCCGAUUGGGGAUUCUGGUCUCCGAAUGGAGGCGUGGGUUCGAAUCCCACUUCUGACA